RNAcentral lists this non-coding RNA (73 nucleotides) under Elusimicrobiota bacterium. RNAcentral's name for it is "Elusimicrobia bacterium NiCo sequence". It matches the Rfam family "NiCo (Nickel/Cobalt) riboswitch aptamer". Lineage: Bacteria; Pseudomonadati; Elusimicrobiota. The record is from RNAcentral.
AUAUCGGCACUAGAUCAGGCGGCCCACGGGGCGCGGCCGGGCUUCUCGCAGCGGGUGAAACCGCGGGACUAGA